UAGCCAUGGUGUAGGCACUGAUUCAACAGAUCCUUGAAUCAUUCCCAAACUUGAUAGAACGUUUCUUUCUCCUCUUGGAAAAAUGUGGAAAUUUGUCAUUUUAGACU
Molecule: small nucleolar RNA, 107 nt
Organism: Humulus lupulus (European hop)
Lineage: Eukaryota; Viridiplantae; Streptophyta; Magnoliopsida; Rosales; Cannabaceae
Source: RefSeq, a predicted model, not a curated record